GGGCCCGCACAAGCGGUGGAGCAUGUGGUUUAAUUCGACGCAACGCGCAGAACCUUACCAGCCCUUGACAUCCCGUGACCGGCCCAGAGAUGGGUUUUCCCCGCAAGGGGCACGGAGACAGGUGCUGCAUGGCUGUCGUCAGCUCGUGUCGUGAGAUGUUGGGUUAAGUCCCGCAACGAGCGCAACCCUUGCCUUCAGUUGCCAUCAUUUAGUUGGGCACUCUGGAGGGACUGCCGGCGGCAAGCCGGAGGAAGGUGGGGAUGACGUCAAGUCCUCAUGGCCCUUACGGGCUGGGCUACACACGUGCUACAAUGGUGGCGACAGAGGGCACAAGCGAGAGCGCGAGCUUUAGCAAAUCCUCAAAAGCCAUCUCAGUUCAGAUUGCGCUCUGCAACUCGGGCGCAUGAAGGUGGAAUCGCUAGUAAUCGCAGAACAGCAGGCUGCGGUGAAUACGUUCCCGGGCCUU
This 466-nucleotide ribosomal RNA is filed under the name uncultured bacterium. Its description in RNAcentral is "bacterial SSU rRNA". It matches the Rfam family "Bacterial small subunit ribosomal RNA", at positions 917 to 1382 of the family's 1533-position model. The record is from RNAcentral.